This 569-nucleotide ribosomal RNA is filed under the name uncultured fungus. Its description in RNAcentral is "eukaryotic LSU rRNA". The stretch from base 206 to 359 matches the Rfam family "5.8S ribosomal RNA". Lineage: Eukaryota; Fungi. The record is from RNAcentral.
CAUUACCGAGUUUACAACUCCCAAACCCAAUGUGAACGUUACCAAACUGUUGCCUCGGCGGGAUCUCUGCCCCGGGCGCGUCGCAGCCCCGGACCAAGGCGCCCGCCGGAGGACCAACCAAAACUCUUAUUGUAUACCCCCUCGCGGGUUUUUUACUAUCUGAGCCAUCUCGGCGCCCCUCGUGGGCGUUUCGAAAAUGAAUCAAAACUUUCAACAACGGAUCUCUUGGUUCUGGCAUCGAUGAAGAACGCAGCGAAAUGCGAUAAGUAAUGUGAAUUGCAGAAUUCAGUGAAUCAUCGAAUCUUUGAACGCACAUUGCGCCCGCCAGUAUUCUGGCGGGCAUGCCUGUCCGAGCGUCAUUUCAACCCUCGAACCCCUCCGGGGGGUCGGCGUUGGGGAUCGGCCCUUUACGGGGCCGGCCCCGAAAUACAGUGGCGGUCUCGCCGCAGCCUCUCCUGCGCAGUAGUUUGCACACUCGCAUCGGGAGCGCGGCGCGUCCACAGCCGUUAAACACCCCAAACUUCUGAAAUGUUGACCUCGGAUCAGGUAGGAAUACCCGCUGAACUUAA